UGGGGAAUCUUGGACAAUGGGGGCAACCCUGAUCCAGCCAUGCCGCGUGAGUGAUGAAGGCCUUAGGGUCGUAAAGCUCUUUCGCCUGUGAAGAUAAUGACGGUAGCAGGUAAAGAAACCCCGGCUAACUCCGUGCCAGCAGCCGCGGUAAUACGGAGGGGGUUAGCGUUGUUCGGAAUUACUGGGCGUAAAGCGCACGUAGGCGGACCAGAAAGUUGGGGGUGAAAUCCCGGGGGCUCAACCCCCGGAACUGCCUCCAAAACUAUUGGUCUAGAGUUCGAGAGAGGUGAGUGGAAUUCCAAGUGUAGAGGUGAAAUUCGUAGAUAUUUGGAGGAACACCAGUGGCGAAGGCGGCUCACUGGCUCGAUACUGACGCUGAGGUGCGAAAGUGUGGGGAGCAAACAGGAUUAGAUACCCUGGUAGUCCACACCGUAAAACGAUGAAUGCCAGUCGUCGGGUAGCAUGCUAUUCGGUGACACACC
This 482-nucleotide ribosomal RNA is filed under the name uncultured bacterium. Its description in RNAcentral is "bacterial SSU rRNA". It matches the Rfam family "Bacterial small subunit ribosomal RNA", at positions 355 to 852 of the family's 1533-position model. The record is from RNAcentral.